GAUCAUGGCUCAGGAUGAACGCUGGCGGCGUGCUUAACACAUGCAAGUCGAACGGGAAACUUUUUAUUGAAGCUUCGGCAGAUUUAAUUUGUUUCUAGUGGCGGACGGGUGAGUAACGCGUGGGUAACCUGCCCUAUACAGGGGGAUAACAACCAGAAAUGGUUGCUAAUACCGCAUAAGCGCACAGGACCGCAUGGUCCGGUGUGAAAAACUCCGGUGGUAUAGGAUGGACCCGCGUUGGAUUAGCCAGUUGGCAGGG
This 259-nucleotide ribosomal RNA is filed under the name uncultured bacterium. RNAcentral's name for it is "partial 16S ribosomal RNA". It matches the Rfam family "Bacterial small subunit ribosomal RNA", at positions 15 to 257 of the family's 1533-position model. The record is from RNAcentral.